This 451-nucleotide ribosomal RNA is filed under the name uncultured bacterium. RNAcentral's name for it is "partial 16S ribosomal RNA". It matches the Rfam family "Bacterial small subunit ribosomal RNA", at positions 29 to 523 of the family's 1533-position model. The record is from RNAcentral.
AACGAACGCUGGCGGCAGGCCUAACGCAUGCAAGUCAAACGGGUGUUGCAAUACACUAGUGGCGCACGGGUGAGUAACACGUGGGAAUCUACCUUUCAGUAAGGAAUAACAGCGGGAAACUGCUGCUAAUGCCUUAUGGUCCCUUCGGGGUAAAGAUUUAUCGCUGAAAGAUGAGCCCGCGUAAGAUUAGCUAGUUGGUGGGGUAAAAGCCUACCAAGGCUACGAUCUUUAGCUGGUCUUAGAGGACGAUCAGCCACACUGGAACUGAGACACGGUCCAGACUCCUACGGGAGGCAGCAGUGGGGAAUAUUGGACAAUGGGGGAAACCCUGAUCCAGCCAUGCCGCGUGAGUGAUGAAGGCCUUCGGGUUGUAAAGCUCUUUAGGGUGGGACGAUAAUGACGGUACCACCAGAAUAAGCCCCGGCUAACUUCGUGCCAGCAGCCGCCGUAA